RNAcentral lists this unclassified non-coding RNA (4493 nucleotides) under Penaeus japonicus. RNAcentral describes it as "rNA-binding protein 33-like, transcript variant X5". The record is from RNAcentral. Lineage: Eukaryota; Metazoa; Arthropoda; Malacostraca; Decapoda; Penaeidae.
AACCCAAAGCAUUACCUCCGCACCAUCAAGUGUUUGUGUUGUGUCCAUUGAUCUGAUGAGAAUGGAAAAGGCGUCCAUGUGAAAGCUCUUUUUUCAGGCUUAGAUAGCGACAGAUUAGGCAGUCACAUAAGCUAUAAUUAAGAUGGCAGAGUUAGAGGAUGAGUUGAUUGGAGAAGAUCUAGAUUAUGAGUAUGAUCUAGAUGAGGAAGAAGAGGAGGCCCUCUUGGCCGGUGAAACGCAGGAGGCCCUUUUUCUCUUUUCCCCGCAGGUUGAAGAGGACAUAAUUGAGUUGCGCGUGGAGGAUGAAUUUGAGGAUGAUGACGGUCAGAUGGGCAUGUCUCACUCCUCCAAUGUUCAUUCACUUCAGACAUCGGACAGUGUAUAUGAAAGGGAUAUCGACGAUGGCUAUAAUGAUAAUUCCAUGAAUGAUGAGUCCCUUAACAUAGAAACCCAAAAUAUUUUAGAAGAGGAGGAGGAAGAGGAAGAGGAGGAGGAGGAAGAAGACGAGGAAGGCCGGAGUCGUGACCGCUUCAAGAGCGAAAGAUCGAAGAUAUCUCUGUCAAACACGACUGUUGAGCGAACCAUUCCAGACUCUCUAGACAAAGUGAAAGUGGAGAAGACAGAGAGCAUAGACCAUUCACGAGGACGAGGUGGCUUCCGUGGUUAUGGCCGAGACAGAGGACGAGGGGGCGGACGAGGUGGCCAAAUGGGGGGUUGGCAGAGGGGAGGGCCAAGAGGGGGACACAGAGGUGGGCAUAGAGGUGGACCCAGAGGUUUGAUGUCCCAGCCUGGAAAUAGUGGAUGGGGUGGCCCUAGAUUCCAGAUCCAGCCAUGGGAGCGUCCACCCUUAUUAAUGAAUCCCCAGAUGCGACCUGCAAUAAGGCAGGGUGUUCCCAACAUGCAGAUGCAGAGGGGUGGCCCUCCUAACAUGGGUCGUCCGCAGCUACCUCUGGUGUCAUUACCUGGGGGAAUGCCAGAUAGGCCUAAUGCCCUCUUGGGCAAUCCCCCCAAUGUAGGAGGAUUUCCCCGUCUUCCACUGGGAAAUGUAGGUUUGUGGAGUGCGGCAGUAGUGCCCUAUGGAGCUGGUGCAAUACUUUCCCAACUAGUCAGUCAGGCACAAAUUGAAGAUGACUUGAGGUCGUCUCUGAAGCGUCGUUCAGACGGGGAGCCUAUGAACAACUCGCCGCCCAAGCACAUGAGAAUGAAUCAGCCCAAAAUGAGUAAUCAGCAGUCUGUUGCAUGGAAAAAACUCAACAAUGCAGUGAACAGACAGCGUGGUGGUAUGGCCAAGAAGGGUCCAAUAUCUAGUCGUCUCUCCAUGCCCGCAGCAAAUGCCAAUCCCAAUUUGACAACCAUCAAGACUGUAGACAUCCGGCCUAUUCAACAGAAUCAGGCAAACAGGCAACAGAGAGGCCAGGGGAGGAAGGAGCCCAAUGCGCAGAAUCAAAACGAAGGCCACAGGCAGUCAGAGAAGGGACCCAGUGACACUGACAAGGGGAAAGGGCCAUCUGACCAGGAGCAAAAGCCGGAUGAUCCCAACGAAGACAAGGAGGCGCGAGAGUACCGGCUGAAACUGCAGAAGCAAAAGGAGUUGAGGGAGCAGAUACUUGCCAAGAAGGAAGCCAGAAGAAAAGCAGCUGCAGCUAUCAAGGCCUCAGAGCUAGCCAGCAAAAAGGAGAGGGAAGAAAAGGAAAACAACAAGAAAGCCGAAGACCAAAAGAAGAAGGAGCAGCACCCGUUCCAACAAGGUCCCCCACCACAGCCGGGACAGAUGGAUCGCAAAGGGUUCAAGGGUGGGCCAAAUCAGCAUCCAAUUAGACCAAACCAGCAGGGCAGCCCACGCCUACCUGCUCCCCACCCCAAUCAGAACAGACCACGAUUCAAUAGGCCUCGGAUGCCUCCCCCUCUGCUUCCGGAAGGUCCUCGAGCUCACCACAACCAGCAGCCUCCUUUCCGUCGCCAGUCUCCCCCGCCCCUGGAUCGCCAUCACCAUCGCCCAGAUGGCCAUCACCACCCGAGUCCGAUCAGGACACCACCUCCAUUAUUCAGUGAGCCGCCGCCCCUUCAUAAUGUGGAUUCUGGUUUCCAGCUGGAUGGAAUAAGACCACCCUAUUAUGGCCCUCACAGUAAUUCAGGGCAGCAGCCAUUGCAUCCAGUCCCACCACAGGAUAUGCCACCUCAUCACCAUGGCCCCCCGCCCCAGCGGCACAUCCCACCCCCGCAUCCACCCCCACCCAUCCACAACCAGCCACCACCCCACCUGCAGCAUCCACCUCCUUCUCACCCUCCACCUCCUCAGCACCACCCUCCUCCACACCAGCCGCCGUCUGACAUGCAGCACAUGCCUGGACGACCUAACAUGCCCCCGCCCCACCACCACGGGCCUCCACACUUACAGGGUCCGCCUCACAGGCCCUCGCAUCCACCAAACCAUGGUCCCCCCCAUGGACAUCCCCCGGAUUUGAACCACAGGCCACCAGUCUCCCAGGGUCACCGUGACCAAUACCACCAUCAGAGUGAUUCCUUCCCACCAAGAGGGCCUCCCCCAUUAUCCACUCACCAUGAGCCGAUGGGAGGACCAAGAGACUUCAGGGAGGGCCAUAGGUUCACAGAGCCUCCUCCGGCCUGGGAGGAACCCCAUCACGAGUAUAAUGAAUACAACGAGGGCUACAACGAGCCCAGAGUGGACUCCUAUGAAAGGGACGAUUAUUAUCACAAGAACCAGUAUCCAGAGGAGCCCCCCUAUCAGGACUCGUACUAUGACCAGCCGUACUCAGAGCCUCCACCAAAGUAUGAAGAAGAAUACCAGCGCCCUCGAGCUAGGGAGGAGUACCACCAAGAGCAGUACCCAGAAGAGUCGUACCAAGAAUAUAACCAACCAGAACAGCAUGAGAACUAUAGGCCUGCUGCAAGGGGCAGAGAUGUCAGAAGUCGACUUGGAGGAAGGGUUACAGUUGGCCAAAAUCCACAUCAUCUGCAGGUGAAAGUUGUCCAGAAUCUCACAGAAGAAGCAGAGUCCCCUCCUGCACAACCCCAGAUUGGGCAGAAAAUUCAGACUGUGCAACGGCAGCAACCUUCGCGCUCACGGAAAUACAAAAGGAUCACAAGAAAGAACAUGAAAGGAGAAGUUAUUUCAGUCAAAAAGAUCCCAGUGGAUGAACAUGGUAAUCAAAUUGGACCUCCAGUAACAGAAUUUGAAGCCAGUGAUUCUUAUACAGACACAGCAAAUACUACUACUCCAGUAUCUAGCAGUCAGCAGCAGCGAGUGCCAGUUGUAAAGACAUUACGUCAGAUAGUUAGGAAAGUCCCAACAAACCGCCAGCAAAUGCAGCAGCAGCAGCAGCAACAACAAGCACCUCCCGCUUCUCAGCAGCUACAGCAACAAGUCAAGCUAAGGGAAAUCCCACAAACUGAUCAGAGCAAAGCACAGACGCAGCAGGGAAAGAUAGUGAAGAGAAUGGUCGUGUCCACUGGAGAUGUAUCGUCGCAGACCAGGAAGCGGUAUCCGGAGAGUGAUCACACAGACGCCAGCAUCACAGACAGGAAACACAGAUGGGUACCAUACUGUCCAUCUGUGUGAUCUACCAACCAAUCUCACGUUAACAGACAUUACUCAGAUGGUGAACAGUGCGGGGGUUGGGCAGCCUUUGGGUAUAGACUAUGUGUCAGGGUCAAGAGAGUGUGUGAUUACUUUCCAUCAGUCAGAGGUUGCUGCUAAGUUCCACCAGAAAAUAAACCGCAGAAUGGUGAACAUGUCAUUCAUUAGGGCAAAGAUGUACUGAGAAGAUUUAGUAUAUGAUGGCUGCUUGAAUGUAUUUCAUGAAAUUUGUUAAUGCAGAGGAGAUGGAAAGGAGUGUAGUGAUGGCAAUCACAAGGUAGUCAGAUGCUUCAGAAAAUGGCAUUAUGAAAUUUAUGAUUUCCUUACGUUGCCAUGUUCAAAUGAACACAAUUGGUAAUUUAAUUGUUUUGUUCUUUUGUGUCUUCAUGUGUUUUAUAUAAAGUGACAGUGCAAAUGUCUACUAAAGUUGCUCUCUUAUUCAUAAGUAAAUCAUUUUUACCCAAGACAUGAAAAAAAUUUAUAAAAAUAAUUAAAUUAUCCCUUGACCACCAAAAGCACAUUACCAUCAAUUUUUACCCAAAACAUUUGAAAAACAACGACAUUAUUUGUCACCAGACUACCAAAAGCACAUUAUCUUAAGUGCAAUGUCAGCUAGGCCUAAUUUCAUAAAUAGUGGAACAGGGGUUCAUAUUGUAUUUAUAUUAUUUUAUUUAUCUCAGUGAACUGACUGUUCCUUAAUACAUUCUCAUGGAGGGCCAUCACAACUCCACCAGCAUCAUUCAUAUAGGAAGCUUAGGAGUAUUUUUGAACAACAACAUACAUACAAACGCACAGAAGCAUGCACACGCAAAUGCACGCGCACACGCACACGCACACGCACACGCACACGCACACGCACACGCACACGCACACGCAAACUCACAUGCACAUGAGC